AGUGAACGCUGGCGGUAGGCCUAACACAUGCAAGACGAACGGCAGCACAGUAAGAGCUUGCUCUUACGGGUGGCGAGUGGCGGACGGGUGAGGAAUACAUCGGAAUCUACUUUUUCGUGGGGGAUAACGUAGGGAAACUUACGCUAAUACCGCAUACGACCUACGGGUGAAAGCAGGGGAUCUUCGGACCUUGCGCGAUUGAAUGAGCCGAUGUCGGAUUAGCUAGUUGGCGGGGUAAAGGCCCACCAAGGCGACGAUCCGUAGCUGGUCUGAGAGGAUGAUCAGCCACACUGGAACUGAGGCACGGUCCAGACUCCUACGGGAGGCAGCAGUGGGGAAUAUUGGACAAUGGGCGCAAGCCUGAUCCAGCCAUACCGCGUGGGUGAAGAAGGCCUUCGGGUUGUAAAGCCCUUUUGUUGGGAAAGAAAAGCAGCAGGUUAAUACCCCGCUGUUCUGACGGUACCCAAAGAAUAAGCACCGGCUAACUUCGUG
This 492-nucleotide ribosomal RNA is filed under the name uncultured bacterium. RNAcentral's name for it is "partial 16S ribosomal RNA". It matches the Rfam family "Bacterial small subunit ribosomal RNA", at positions 29 to 507 of the family's 1533-position model. The record is from RNAcentral.